Molecule: long non-coding RNA, 872 nt
Organism: Myotis myotis
Lineage: Eukaryota; Metazoa; Chordata; Mammalia; Chiroptera; Vespertilionidae
Exons: 2
Source: RefSeq, a predicted model, not a curated record
CGGCAGCCGCUACAGCCAGAGAGGCAGUCUCCUCCCUCCUCCCCUCCCUCCCUCCUCCCUCCCUCCUUCCCUCUCCGCCGCCUCCCUCCUCCCGUUCUCCUUCCCCCCUCCCCCCGCCGAACCCCGGCGCAAGGGGGGAAUUAGAAACUGCUCUAGAAGGAUUUUAAACAACUGGCUGUUCUCUCCGCCGCCAUCCCGCCCCCCGCGCCGCCCGCGCUCGGCUCCUCACUGGAGAGAAGGCGCCGGGAGGAGGGGAAAGUGCGGCCUGGAGUUUCUGGCCGGAGCCGGCGGAGCUGCAGCCUUGGCGGCCCCAGACUUCGGGGCGCCGGCCGAGUACACCGGCAGACCCGCGGCCCCAGCCGCCCUUGGGGCCCCCCGCCAGCCUCUCUCCCGCUCCUCUCCUGUUGAUGACCGGGCGCCCGUCCCCAGCAUUGAUCUCGGCCGCCCCCAACCUCCUCCCCGGGGUGUCGCCCCCGCCCCGCUCCCCGAGGGCCGGCUGGCGAGGGCUGCACGCGCUGUUCCCUCGACCUUCGGGCGGAGCGACCCGGAGCAACUCGCUUACCCUCCUGGGGAGUGACUGCGCCCGGGGUCGCUGGCGCCGCUGGAGUGGCGUCGCCUGGCUCCUGGGACCGCGCCCUGCGCCCCAAGGGAGCACCCGGCCUCGGGCCUGCCUCCUCUCCUGAGAGGUCUCAGUAUCUGAAGACACACCCUAGUAGAAAACUACAAAGAAGUUGGGAGGUGGGGAAGAACUGUAUGCUGUGAGUUUUAGUCUCUGCUACUAAUUUGUGACAUUAAUGUCUUUGUCGGUAAAAAAAAAAAAAAAAAAAAAAAAAAAAAAAAAAAAAAAAAAAAAAAAAAAAAAAAAGAAGAAG